GAUGAACGCUAGCGGCAGGCCUAACACAUGCAAGUCGAGGGAGAGGCUAUCUUCGAGUAACCAAAACCGGCGCACGGGUGCGUAACGCGUAUACAAUCUGCCUUUCACAUAGGGAUAGCCCGAAGAAAUUUGGAUUAAUACCUAAUGGUAUAUAAGAGCGGCAUCGUUUUUAUAUUAAAGCUACGGUGGUGAAAGAUGAGUAUGCGUUCUAUUAGCUAGUUGGAGAGGUAACGGCUCCCCAAGGCGACGAUAGAUAGGGGUUCUGAGAGGGAUGUCCCCCACACUGGUACUGAGAUACGGACCAGACUCCUACGGGAGGCAGCAGUGAGGAAUAUUGGACAAUGGUCGGAAGACUGAUCCAGCCAUGCCGCGUGCAGGAUGAAGGUCCUAUGGAUUGUAAACUGCUUUUGUAAGGGAAGAAUAAGGAGUACGUGUACUUUGAUGACGGUACCUUACGAAUAAGCAUCGGCUAACUCCGUGCCAGCAGCCGCGGUAAUACGGAGGAUGCGAGCGUUAUCCGGAAUCAUUGGGUUUAAAGGGUCCGUAGGCGGGCUGAUAAGUCAGAGGUGAAAGCGCUUAGCUCAACUAAGCAACUGCCUUUGAAACUGUCAGUCUUGAAUGAUUGUGAAGUAGUUGGGAAUGUGUAGUGUAGCGGUGAAAUGCUUAGAUAUUACACAGAACACCGAUAGCGAAGGUAUAUUACUAACAUUUAUUGACGCUGAUGGACGAAAGCGUGGGGAGCGAACAGG
RNAcentral lists this ribosomal RNA (749 nucleotides) under uncultured Capnocytophaga sp. Its description in RNAcentral is "bacterial SSU rRNA". It matches the Rfam family "Bacterial small subunit ribosomal RNA", at positions 28 to 776 of the family's 1533-position model. The record is from RNAcentral. Lineage: Bacteria; Pseudomonadati; Bacteroidota; Flavobacteriia; Flavobacteriales; Flavobacteriaceae.